RNAcentral lists this ribosomal RNA (488 nucleotides) under Bombus weisi. RNAcentral's name for it is "partial 16S ribosomal RNA". The stretch from base 367 to 488 matches the Rfam family "Bacterial large subunit ribosomal RNA", at positions 2473 to 2595 of the family's 2925-position model. The record is from RNAcentral. Lineage: Eukaryota; Metazoa; Arthropoda; Insecta; Hymenoptera; Apidae.
AUAAUAAUUUUAAGUCAAUCUGCUCAAUGAUUUUAUAAUUAAAUGGCUGCAGUAUAAUUAACUGUACAAAGGUAGCAUAAUAAAUUGUCUUUUAAUUGAAGACUGGAAUGAAAGAAUUAAUGAGAUAUAUACUGUCUCAUAUAUAUUAAAUGAAUUUAAAUUUUUAGUAAAAAUGCUUAAAUAAUUUUAUGGGACGAUAAGACCCUAUAGAAUUUUAUAUUAAUAUUUUAUUAAUUAUUUAAUUAAAUAUUAAUAUUUAAUUGGGAGGAUUAGUAAAUAAGAAAAACUUUAUUUUUAAAAUAAACUUUGAUUUUAGAAUAUAUUUUUGAUCUUUUAUUAUAAAUCAAAAGAAUAAAUUACCUUAGGGAUAACAGCGUUAUAUCUUUUUAAAGAUCAUAUUAAUAAAGAUGUUUGCGACCUCGAUGUUGAAUUAAGAUAAAUUUUAAAUGAAGAAGUUUAAAAAUUAAGUCUGUUCGACUUUUAAAAUC